AGAGUUUGAUCAUGGCUCAGGACGAACGCUGGCGGCGUGCUUAACACAUGCAAGUGGAGCGACGGACCGGGGCUUGCCCCGGGGCAGAGCCGCGAACGGGUGAGUAACACGUGGGUAACCCACCCCGAUGAUUGGGACAACCCGGGGAAACUCGGGCUAAUACCAAAUGUGCUCGGCGACCAUGAGGUCUCCAAGUAAAGAUAGCUUCGGCCUUCGCAUCGGGACGGGCCCGCGGCCCAUUAGCUUGUUGGUGAGGUAACAGCUCACCAAGGCUGCGAUGGGUAGCUGGUCUGAGAGGACGAUCAGCCACACUGGGACUGAGACACGGCCCAGACUCCUACGGGAGGCAGCAGUGGGGAAUCUUGCGCAAUGCGCGAAAGCGUGACGCAGCAACGCCGCGUGGAGGAAGACGGUCUUCGGAUUGUAAACUCCUUUCAGUUGGGACGAAGCUCAACGGGUUAAUAGCUCGAUGGAGUGACGGUACCUUCAGAAGAAGCCCCGGCUAACUACGUGCCAGCAGCCGCGGUAAUACGUAGGGGGCUAGCGUUGUCCGGAAUCAUUGGGCGUAAAGAGCGUGUAGGCGGUCCGGUAAGUCCGCUGUGAAAGUCGGGGGCUCAACCCUCGAAUGCCGGCGGAUACUGUCGGGCUAGAGUGCGGAAGAGGCGAGUGGAAUUCCUGGUGUAGCGGUGAAAUGCGCAGAUAUCAGGAGGAACACCUAUUGCGAACGCCGCUCGCUGGGACGUAACUGACGCUGAGACGCGAAAGCGUGGGAGCAACACGAUUAGAUACCUUGAGAGUCCUCGCUGUAAGCGGUGGGGCACUAGUUGUCGGGGGGUGUCGAUUCCUCCGUGACGAGGCAA
Molecule: ribosomal RNA, 860 nt
Filed under: uncultured bacterium
Lineage: Bacteria
Description: bacterial SSU rRNA
Rfam family: Bacterial small subunit ribosomal RNA
Source: RNAcentral